Molecule: ribosomal RNA, 445 nt
Filed under: uncultured bacterium
Lineage: Bacteria
Description: bacterial SSU rRNA
Rfam family: Bacterial small subunit ribosomal RNA
Source: RNAcentral
GGGUGAGUAACGCGUAGGAAUCUACCUCGUAGUGGGGGAUAACCUGGUGAAAACCAGGCUAAUACCGCAUGAGCCCUAAGGGGGAAAGCAGGGGACCGUAAGGCCUUGUGCUAUGAGAUGAGCCUGCGUCAGAUUAGCUAGUUGGUGGGGUAAAGGCCUACCAAGGCGAUGAUCUGUAGCUGGUCUGAGAGGACGACCAGCCACACUGGGACUGAGACACGGCCCAGACUCCUACGGGAGGCAGCAGUGGGGAAUAUUGGACAAUGGGCGCAAGCCUGAUCCAGCAAUGCCGCGUGUGUGAAGAAGGCCUGCGGGUUGUAAAGCACUUCAGUGGGGAGGAAGGCCUCAAUGCUAAUAGUAUUGAGGAUUGACGUUACCCACAGAAGAAGCACCGGCUAACUCUGUGCCAGCAGCCGCGGUAAUACAGAGGGUGCGAAGACGUUAA